Dovyalis caffra is the source of this 72-nucleotide non-coding RNA. The record is from the annotation of a GenBank genome assembly. Lineage: Eukaryota; Viridiplantae; Streptophyta; Magnoliopsida; Malpighiales; Salicaceae.
AGGUCUAUAGCUCGGUGUUAGAGCAUUUGACUCGCGAUCAAGAGGUUAUUGGUUCGAACCUCAUUGGGCCCU